AUACGGAGGGUGCAAGCGUUACUCGGAAUCACUGGGCGUAAAGCGCGCGCAGGCGGCUUGAUAAGUUGGAUGUGAAAGCCUACGGCUCAACCGUAGAACUGCAUCCAAAACUGUCAAGCUAGAGUCUGGGAGGGGAAGAUGGAAUUAGUUGUGUAGGAGUAAAAUCCGUAGAGAUAACUAGGAAUACCAAAAGCGAAGGCGAUCUUCUGAAACAGUACAGACGCUGAGGCGCGAAAGCGUGGGGAGCACACAGGAUUAGAAACCCCUGUAGUCC
RNAcentral lists this ribosomal RNA (274 nucleotides) under uncultured bacterium. RNAcentral describes it as "partial 16S ribosomal RNA". It matches the Rfam family "Bacterial small subunit ribosomal RNA", at positions 523 to 796 of the family's 1533-position model. The record is from RNAcentral.